Gadus chalcogrammus (walleye pollock) is the source of this 773-nucleotide long non-coding RNA. RefSeq lists it as uncharacterized. The record is from RefSeq and is a predicted model, not a curated record. The transcript has 3 exons. Lineage: Eukaryota; Metazoa; Chordata; Actinopteri; Gadiformes; Gadidae.
UAAGCCACGCCCAAAAACCGCCCUAGGCCAAUCGUAGUUUAGCAACGGUAACUAAGCGCGGAGGACCUGACAAACUUUUGGGCUAAGUGAAGAUGCCGAAGCACUGUGCCUAUGGGUUGUGCAAAACGGACAGCCGAUACCCAAAGAGUUUGGAGGGUGGUGUUGUUUUUUUUUCCAUUCCCGAAACCCAAAACUCAAUACGAAAAAUGCCGUGAGUGGAUCAAAAAGUGUGGGAGGCCCCAAUCGCAGAUGAAUGUCUCGACGAUAACCAAGAACACUUACAUUUGCUCCAAGAAUCAGGUGUGACCAGCCGGAAACGAACACCUCAUUCUCCACCGAGGACACAUCACUACAGUGUGACUUGACCAACAACAGCGAAGAUCUCGACAACCAAGAGGAACUGAGUCUGCAACCAAGCCGUGAAGCCAACCAAGAGGAAUUGAGAACUCUUCAGGAUGCAUUAACUGCACAAAAGCAGGAGAUAAUUAGUCUGAGGGUUAAGCUUGAGGCAAAGGACAGGGAACUCCACCUUCAGAAGUGCACAGACUUAAACCCUGAGAUAUUGAACAUAAGCCAUGUGCCUGAUUAUUUCAAAUACUGCACAGGUUUUACCUAUGACCAGUUUAAUGUCUUGUGUAAUUUGUUUUCCAUUCCAACUGACCCAGAUGCACCACAAACACACAUUCCACUGACAUAUAAAAAGAUUGAUAAUGAGAUCUCAAAACUUACGCUGCGCAGUCAAUUGUUACUGACACUGAUGAAAUUUAGACAAA